UACAGAGGUCCCCAAGCGUUGUUCGGAUUCACUGGGCGUAAAGGGUGCGCAGGUGGGUUGGCAAGUUCGAUGUGAAAAGCCCCGGCGUUAACCCGGUAACGUGCGAUUGUAAACAGUUCGAUCUGGAGGGUUGGUAGGGGGACGUGGAAUUCUUGGUGUAGCAGUGAAAUGCGUAGAUAUCAAGAGGAACACCAGUGGCGAAGGCGAGUCCCUGGACAAUACCUGACACUGAGGCACGAAAGCUAGGGGAGCAAACAGGAUUAGAAA
RNAcentral lists this ribosomal RNA (267 nucleotides) under uncultured bacterium. RNAcentral describes it as "partial 16S ribosomal RNA". It matches the Rfam family "Bacterial small subunit ribosomal RNA", at positions 524 to 784 of the family's 1533-position model. The record is from RNAcentral.